Non-coding RNA from Triticum urartu, 1130 nucleotides. Lineage: Eukaryota; Viridiplantae; Streptophyta; Magnoliopsida; Poales; Poaceae. The record is from RefSeq and is a predicted model, not a curated record.
AUUACUUAGCUACGAAGGGAGUAGCAGUAAGUUGGCAAGACCAUUUUGGUUUUCUACUAUUGUAGGUCAGCCAUGAUGUCACUUAGGUAAUUGACAUCAGCACGUACGUACUAUAGUCGGUUCAGUAGGCUAUAUAAAGGACCGAUGCCCGUCGCUGUAAGAUCAUUCCAUUCCAAUCAAAGCAAGGCAAUCAGCCUCAAGCAGUACUCCUCUUGGUGUGUGUGUAUGUGUCUUGUGUUGCACUAGUGAGUACGUAUGUUACUAGUGAGUUGAGUGCAAGUACUACCGUUAGAUAGUCAGGACCCUCUGGUCUCAGUAGUUCUGGGCUAACAACGCGCCGGUGCCCAGGCGCCUUGCAUCCAUCUACAGCGAGGUGCAGACGAGCCGCAUCGCGCACACGCUGCCCCUCCCCUCCGUCCUCCGCUCCCACUUCACGCUCGCCGACGAGCCGGCCAGCACCGCCGCUAGAAGCCCCGACGAGAUAGCCAAGCUGUUCUCCAGCCUGCACGGCCGCUGUCCACGGCCGUGCUGCCGUCGGCCGAGCCCGUCGCGACGAAGCCGCUCAAGAUAGGCAUCGUGCUUCCUGGUGGCCAGGUUCCAGGGGGACAAUGGAUCGACUUCUUUGUGUAACAGAUUACCUGCAGGAGGGUGCCAAAGGCAGCACCAUGUAUGGAUUAAGGGAGGCCCGCUGGUGUCAUGAAGGGCAACUACGUCGAGCUGACUGCUGAUUUCGUGUACCCCUACGGAAACCAGUCGUCAGAGAUUCAGAAUUCUUGCUGUAUCAUGGGUGCACUAUCAGAGAUGGUGAAUGCUUUAGACGCUCUAAACUUUUUUUCCCGGGGGGAGGGGGCCUGAGAGGGGUUAGCUUCUAUUGGUUCCUCUGUUCACUUUUUUUUUCUGACGAGAGGUUCUGCAAGUUCCCUCAGUGAAGCCUUAUGUCCAAGAAUAAAUUACCUACGUUUGAGUGCGAGUAAUGUACAACAGUUUGUAAUUUUUCAUUUGUAUUUUUUCCUCGAACAAGAAUUGGUGGUUGGUAUUCAGUUAUUUUUUAUAUGCCGACAAUGUUUUUUCUGCAUAUCGAUUAACUGUCCGUUUACAUAAAGAAAGAAGUUUGUGAUUCUCUGAGCCAA